Molecule: signal recognition particle RNA, 100 nt
Filed under: Acidobacteriota bacterium
Lineage: Bacteria; Pseudomonadati; Acidobacteriota
Description: Acidobacteria bacterium signal recognition particle sRNA small type
Rfam family: Bacterial small signal recognition particle RNA (bases 6-92)
About the family: The signal recognition particle (SRP) is a universally conserved ribonucleoprotein involved in the co-translational targeting of proteins to membranes. Archaeal SRP consists of a 7S RNA and homologues of the eukaryotic SRP19 and SRP54 proteins.
Source: RNAcentral
GGCUCGCGCCUGUGCGACCCGGUCCCGUGAACCCCGUCAGGCCCGGAAGGGAGCAGCGGUAAGCGGAUCGCCGGGUGUGCCGCAGGGCCGUCGGGCCCCU